RNAcentral lists this ribosomal RNA (164 nucleotides) under uncultured Rubrivivax sp. RNAcentral describes it as "partial 16S ribosomal RNA". It matches the Rfam family "Bacterial small subunit ribosomal RNA", at positions 370 to 527 of the family's 1533-position model. Lineage: Bacteria; Pseudomonadati; Pseudomonadota; Betaproteobacteria; Burkholderiales; Sphaerotilaceae. The record is from RNAcentral.
GAUGAGCGCAGCCUGAUCCAGCCAUGCCGCGUGCGGGAAGAAGGCCUUCGGGUUGUAAACCGCUUUUGUCAGGGAAGAAAUCUUCUGGGUUAAUACCUCGGGAGGAUGACGGUACCUGAAGAAUAAGCACCGGCUAACUACGUGCCAGCAGCCGCGGUAAUACU